This 449-nucleotide unclassified non-coding RNA is filed under the name uncultured Clavulina. RNAcentral describes it as "sequence contains ITS2". The stretch from base 1 to 154 matches the Rfam family "5.8S ribosomal RNA". The record is from RNAcentral. Lineage: Eukaryota; Fungi; Basidiomycota; Agaricomycetes; Cantharellales; Hydnaceae.
AACUUUUAGCAAUGGAUCACUUGGCUCUCGCAUCGAUGAAGAACGCAGCGAAAUGCGAUAAGUAAUGUGAAUUGCAGAAUUCAGCGAAUCAUCGAAUUUUUGAACGCACCUUGCGCUCCCUGGUAUUCCGGGGAGCACGCCUGUUCGAGUGUCGCGAAAUUCUCAAACUGAGAUGCUUUUUUGUUCCUCGGCUUGGUGUUGGGCUUUGCAGUCCCCUUUGAUUGGGAUGGCUGGCCUCAAAAGCAUUAGCUGGCUUUUGGUGUGGCAUUGGUUCUACUCAGCGUGAUAAUGAUCGGACCGCCGAGGACAUCUUUCGAGAUGUCCAAUUCUCAUUUGGGCUGCUUCUAAUCUUGGUCGAGCGGAUUAUGAUUCUGUGCCACUUUUCAACUUUUGACCUCGAAUCAGGUGGGACUACCCGCUGAACUUAGGCAUAUCAAUAAGCCGAGGCU